ACGUAAGUGGCGAGCGUUAUCCGGAAUUACUGGGCGUAAAGGGUUCGUAGGUGGCCACUUAAGUCAGACGUGAAAUCCCUCAGCUUAACUGGGGAACUGCGUCUGAUACUGGGUGGCUUGAGUGCAGGAGAGGAAUGCGGAAUUCCAGGUGUAGCGGUGAAAUGCGUAGAUAUCUGGAGGAACACCGGUGGCGAAGGCGGCAUUCUGGACUGUAACUGACACUGAGGAACGAAAGCCAGGGGAGCAAACGGGA
RNAcentral lists this ribosomal RNA (253 nucleotides) under uncultured prokaryote. RNAcentral describes it as "partial 16S ribosomal RNA". It matches the Rfam family "Bacterial small subunit ribosomal RNA", at positions 525 to 777 of the family's 1533-position model. The record is from RNAcentral.